UACGGAGGGUGCAAGCGUUAAUCGGAAUUACUGGGCGUAAAGCGUGCGCAGGCGGUUUGUUAAGUCCGCUGUGAAAUCCCCGAGCUCAACUUGGGAAUUGCAGUGGAUACUGGCAAGCUGGAGUAUGGUAGAGGAAGGUGGAAUUCCCGGUGUAGCAGUGAAAUGCGUAGAGAUCGGGAGGAACACCAGUGGCGAAGGCGGCCUUCUGGACCAAUA
This 216-nucleotide ribosomal RNA is filed under the name uncultured bacterium. RNAcentral describes it as "partial 16S ribosomal RNA". It matches the Rfam family "Bacterial small subunit ribosomal RNA", at positions 524 to 739 of the family's 1533-position model. The record is from RNAcentral.